GCAUCUGAUUCUUUCCUGCUCUUUGCAGUGCGGUGCAUGACUGGGGACACAUGAUGCUACAGCAAAGCAGAGGAAAUCCAGACAAGCUCCUUUCCAUUGCACUGGGACUUGUCUCUACAACUCUGCAACAUUU
Molecule: small nucleolar RNA, 133 nt
Filed under: Pelusios castaneus (West African mud turtle)
Lineage: Eukaryota; Metazoa; Chordata; Testudines; Pelomedusidae
Description: Small nucleolar RNA SNORA55 (ENSPCEG00000019389.1)
Rfam family: Small nucleolar RNA SNORA55
About the family: ACA55 is a member of the H/ACA class of snoRNA that guide the sites of modification of uridines to pseudouridines.
Source: Rfam by way of RNAcentral